UACGUAGGGUGCGAGCGUUAAUCGGAAUUACUGGGCGUAAAGUGUGCGCAGGCGGCCGCGCAAGUCGAGUGUGAAAGCCCCGGGCUUAACUUGGGAAUUGCGCUCGAAACUACGUGGCUGGAGUGUGGCAGAGGAAGGUGGAAUUCCAGGUGUAGCGGUGAAAUGCGUAGAUAUCUGGAGGAGCACCGGUGGCGAAGGCGGCAUCCUGGACCGAUACUGACGCUGAGGAGCGAAAGCCAGGGGAGCAAACGGG
RNAcentral lists this ribosomal RNA (253 nucleotides) under uncultured bacterium. RNAcentral's name for it is "partial 16S ribosomal RNA". It matches the Rfam family "Bacterial small subunit ribosomal RNA", at positions 524 to 776 of the family's 1533-position model. The record is from RNAcentral.